AUGCUUUACACAUGCAAGUCGAACGGUAUCAGGGUGCUUGCACCGCUGACGAGUGGCGAACGGGUGAGUAAUGCGUCGGAAUGUACCGUGUAAUGGGGGAUAGCUCGGCGAAAGCCGGAUUAAUACCGCAUACGCCCUGAGGGGGAAAGUGGGGGACCGUAAGGCCUCACGUUAUACGAGCAGCCGACGUCUGAUUAGCUAGUUGGUGAGGUAAGAGCUCACCAAGGCGACGAUCAGUAGCGGGUCUGAGAGGAUGAUCCGCCACACUGGGACUGAGACACGGCCCAGACUCCUACGGGAGGCAGCAGUGGGGAAUUUUGGACAAUGGGCGCAAGCCUGAUCCAGCCAUGCCGCGUGUCUGAAGAAGGCCUUCGGGUUGUAAAGGACUUUUGUUCGGGAGGAAAUCCCGCUGGUUAAUACCUGGCGGGGAUGACAGUACCGGAAGAAUAAGCACCGGCUAACUACGUGCCAGCAGCCGCGGUAAUACGUAAGGGUGCAAGCGUUAAUCGGAAUUACUGGGCGUAAAGCGUGCGCAGGCGGUUGUGCAAGUCUGAUGUGAAAGCCCCGGGCUUAACCUGGGAACGGCAUUGGAGACUGCACGACUAGAGUGCGUCAGAGGGGGGUAGAAUUCCACGUGUAGCAGUGAAAUGCUUAGAGAUGUGGAGGAAUACCGAUGGCGAAGGCAGUCCCCUGGGAUGACACUGACGCUCAUGCACGAAAGCGUGGGGAGCAAACAGGAUUAGAUACCCUGGUAGUCCACGCCCUAAACGAUGUCAACUAGCUGUUGGGGGUUUGAAUCCUUGGUAGCGUAGCUAACGCGUGAAGUUGACCGCCUGGGGAGUACGGCCGCAAGGUUAAAACUCAAAGGAAUUGACGGGGACCCGCACAAGCGGUGGAUGAUGUGGAUUAAUUCGAUGCAACGCGAAAAACCUUACCUGCUCUUGACAUGUAACGAACUUGGUAGAGAUAUCUUGGUGCCCGAAAGGGAGCGUUAACACAGGUGCUGCAUGGCUGUCGUCAGCUCGUGUCGUGAGAUGUUGGGUUAAGUCCCGCAACGAGCGCAACCCUUGUCAUUAGUUGCCAUCAUUAAGUUGGGCACUCUAAUGAGACUGCCGGUGACAAACCGGAGGAAGGUGGGGAUGACGUCAAGUCCUCAUGGCCCUUAUGAGCAGGGCUUCACACGUCAUACAAUGGUCGGUACAGAGGGUUGCCAAGCCGCGAGGUGGAGCUAAUCUCAGAAAACCGAUCGUAGUCCGGAUCGCACUCUGCAACUCGAGUGCGUGAAGUCGGAAUCGCUAGUAAUCGCAGAUCAGCAUGCUGCGGUGAAUACGUUCCCGGGUCUUGUACACACCGCCCGUCACACCAUGGGAGUGAGUUUCACCAGAAGUGGGUAGGCUAACCGUAAGGAGGCCGCUUACCACGGUGGGAUUCAUGACUGGGGUGAAGUCGUAACAAGGUA
Molecule: ribosomal RNA, 1459 nt
Filed under: Chromobacterium sp. 44
Lineage: Bacteria; Pseudomonadati; Pseudomonadota; Betaproteobacteria; Neisseriales; Chromobacteriaceae
Description: 16S ribosomal RNA
Rfam family: Bacterial small subunit ribosomal RNA
Source: RNAcentral